UCCGGCGUAGCUCAACCGGUAGAGCGGGUGGCUGUUAACCACUAGGUUGGGGGUUCGAGUCCCUCCGCCGGAG
RNAcentral lists this transfer RNA (73 nucleotides) under Pseudothermotoga lettingae TMO. Its description in RNAcentral is "Thermotoga lettingae TMO tRNA". It matches the Rfam family "tRNA". Rfam says of the family: Transfer RNA (tRNA) molecules are approximately 80 nucleotides in length. Their secondary structure includes four short double-helical elements and three loops (D, anti-codon, and T loops). RNAcentral also lists the same sequence under 2 other names. Lineage: Bacteria; Thermotogati; Thermotogota; Thermotogae; Thermotogales; Thermotogaceae. The record is from Rfam by way of RNAcentral.